RNAcentral lists this ribosomal RNA (253 nucleotides) under uncultured bacterium. RNAcentral describes it as "partial 16S ribosomal RNA". It matches the Rfam family "Bacterial small subunit ribosomal RNA", at positions 524 to 776 of the family's 1533-position model. The record is from RNAcentral.
UACGUAGGGUGCAAGCGUUGUCCGGAAUUAUUGGGCGUAAAGAGCUCGUAGGCGGUCUGUUGCGUCGGCUGUGAAAACCCGGGGCUCAACUCCGGGCCUGCAGCCGAUACGGGCAGACUAGAGUUCGGCAGGGGAGACUGGAAUUCCUGGUGUAGCGGUGAAAUGCGCAGAUAUCAGGAGGAACACCGGUGGCGAAGGCGGGUUGCUGGGCCGACACUGACGCUGAUGCGCGAAAGCCAGGGGAGCGAACGGG